This 493-nucleotide ribosomal RNA is filed under the name uncultured bacterium. RNAcentral describes it as "bacterial SSU rRNA". It matches the Rfam family "Bacterial small subunit ribosomal RNA", at positions 28 to 507 of the family's 1533-position model. The record is from RNAcentral.
GAUGAACGCUAGCUACAGGCUUAACACAUGCAAGUCGAGGGGAAACGAUAGAGAAAGCUUGCUUUUUCUAGGCGUCGACCGGCGCACGGGUGAGUAACGCGUAUCCAACCUGCCCACCACUUGGGGAUAACCUUGCGAAAGUAAGACUAAUACCCAAUGACGUCUCUAGAAGACAUCUGAAAGAGAUUAAAGAUUUAUCGGUGAUGGAUGGGGAUGCGUCUGAUUAGCUUGUUGGCGGGGUAACGGCCCACCAAGGCGACGAUCAGUAGGGGUUCUGAGAGGAAGGUCCCCCACAUUGGAACUGAGACACGGUCCAAAACUCCUACGGGAGGCAGCAGUGAGGAAUAUUGGUCAAUGGACGAGAGUCUGAACCAGCCAAGUAGCGUGCAGGAUGACGGCCCUAUGGGUUGUAAACUGCUUUUAUAAGGGAAUAAAGUCGGGUAUGGAUACCCGUUUGCAUGUACUUUAUGAAUAAGGAUCGGCUAACUCCGUG